Molecule: ribosomal RNA, 491 nt
Filed under: uncultured bacterium
Lineage: Bacteria
Description: bacterial SSU rRNA
Rfam family: Bacterial small subunit ribosomal RNA
Source: RNAcentral
GAUGAACGCUAGCUACAGGCCCUCCUAUGCAAGUCGAGGGGCAGCGGUAUCAAAAGCUUGUUUUCGGUAGCCGGCGACCGGCGCACGGGUGAGUAACUCUUAUCGAACCUGCCUCAUACUCGGAAAUAGCCUUGCAAAAGUAAAAUUAAUGCCCGGUGUUUUCAAAGUCCCGCAUGAGGCUUUGAACAAAGAUUUAUCGGUAUGAGAUGGCGAUGCGUCCCAUUACCUUGUUGGCGGGGUAACGGCCCACCAAGGCAUCGAUGGGUAGGGGUUCUGAGAGGAAGGUCCCCCACACUGGAACUGAAACACGGUCCAAACUCCUACGGGAGGCAGCAGUGAGGAAUAUUGGUCAAUGGGCGAGAGCCUGAACCAGCCAAGUCGCGUGAGGAACAAAUGGUCUAUGGCCUGUAAACCUCUUUUGUCAAGGAAAAAUAAAUCGCACGGGUGCGAUCUUGCCAGUACUUGACAAAUAAGCAUCGGCUAACUCUGUG